AAUGGGGGAAACCCUGAUGCAGCAACGCCGCGUGAGUGAUGACGGUCUUCGGAUUGUAAAGCUCUGUCUUUAGGGACGAUAAUGACGGUACCUAAGGAGGAAGCCACGGCUAACUACGUGCCAGCAGCCGCGGUAAUACGUAGGUGGCAAGCGUUGUCCGGAUUUACUGGGCGUAAAGGGAGCGUAGGCGGAUUUUUAAGUGGGAUGUGAAAUACCCGGGCUCAACCUGGGUGCUGCAUUCUAAACUGGAAGUCUAGAGUACAGGAGGGGAAAGCGGAAUUCCUAGUGUAGCGGUGAAAUGCGUAGAUAUUAGGAGGAACACCAGUGGCGAAGGCGGCUUUCUGGACAAUAACUGACGCUGAGGCGCGAAAGCGUGGGGAGCAAA
Molecule: ribosomal RNA, 385 nt
Filed under: uncultured bacterium
Lineage: Bacteria
Description: bacterial SSU rRNA
Rfam family: Bacterial small subunit ribosomal RNA
Source: RNAcentral